UACCCGUAAAUUAGAGGUCUACAUGUCC
This 28-nucleotide small RNA is filed under the name Bombyx mori (domestic silkworm). RNAcentral's name for it is "ovarian small RNA-20673". The record is from RNAcentral. Lineage: Eukaryota; Metazoa; Arthropoda; Insecta; Lepidoptera; Bombycidae.